UUUAAGUAUUAUAAUUUAAAGUCUAAUCUGCCCAGUGAAAUUUUUAAAUGGCUGCGGUAUUUUGACCGUACAAAGGUAGCGUGAUAAUUAGUUUUUUAAUUGGAAACUGGUAUGAAUGAUUGGACGAGAAAAAUUCUGUUUCAAUAAAAUUUUAUUUGAAUUUUAUUUUUAAGUGAAAAAGCUUAAAUUUUCUUAAAGGACGAGAAGACCCUAUAGAGUUUAAAAUUUUAUUUUAAUAUAAAAUAAAGGUAUAAAAGAUUUGUAGGGUAAGAUUUUUGGUUGGGGUGACUGUAAGAUUUAAUAAACUCUUUUUUAUUAUACAAUGAUUUUUGGCACAAUUUCGAUCCAUUGAUUUUGAUUAUAAGAUUAAACUUACCUUCAGGGAUAGACACGCGUAAUUUUUUCUAAAAGUUCUUAUUAACUUAUAAAGAUUGCGACCUCGAUGUUGGAUUAAAAUUUAUUUUAGGUGUGAGAAGAC
Molecule: ribosomal RNA, 478 nt
Filed under: Dromaeolus sp. 2 VV-2007
Lineage: Eukaryota; Metazoa; Arthropoda; Insecta; Coleoptera; Eucnemidae
Description: partial 16S ribosomal RNA
Source: RNAcentral